Molecule: non-coding RNA, 189 nt
Filed under: Archangium sp.
Lineage: Bacteria; Pseudomonadati; Myxococcota; Myxococcia; Myxococcales; Archangiaceae
Description: 6S RNA
Rfam family: 6S / SsrS RNA
About the family: E. coli 6S RNA was the first non coding RNA to be sequenced, but its function was unknown until recently.
Source: RNAcentral
UGUUCCCUGCGGGGUACGUGAUGGUCGACCAACACUCGAACCGAUACAUAUAAAACGGGGGUUGUUCCGUCCGACCGGGUGCAAGCCCUCCUCGCAAGAGAGAGGGACGCCGAAGGAAGGCAAAUGGCUCCCACCUGAACCGUCAAGGUUCAGUGAAGGUCGAGACACACGGCUCAUGGCGGGGAACGU